CCUACGGGUGGCAGCAGUGGGGAAUAUUGGACAAUGGGGGCAACCCUGAUCCAGCGACGCCGCGUGAGUGAAGAAGGAUCUUCGUGUGUAAAGCUCUUUCAGUAGGGAAGAAGAAUUGACGGUACCUGCGUCAGAAGCCCCGGCUAACUACGUGCCAGCAGCCGCGGUCAUACGUAGGGGGCAAGCGUUCUCCGGACUUACUGGGUGUAAAGGGAGCGUAGGCGGGAUGCUAAGUCAGCUGUGAAAGCUACGGGCUUAACUUGUAGACUGCAGUUGAAACUGGUAGUCUUGAGUGAAGUAGAGGUAGGCGGAAUUCGGGGUGUAGCGGUGAAAUGCGUAGAUAUCGGGAGGAACACCGGUGGCGAAGGCGGGCAACUGGACUGUAACUGACGCUGAGGCUCGAAAGUGUGGGGAGCAAACAGGAUUAGAUACCCUAGUAGUC
RNAcentral lists this ribosomal RNA (442 nucleotides) under uncultured bacterium. RNAcentral describes it as "partial 16S ribosomal RNA". It matches the Rfam family "Bacterial small subunit ribosomal RNA", at positions 338 to 795 of the family's 1533-position model. The record is from RNAcentral.